AGAAUCAACGCUGGCGGCGUGCCUAACACAUGCAAGUCGCACGAGAAAGGGGAGCAAUCCCUGAGUAAGGUGGCGCACGGGUGAGUAACACGUGAAUGAUCUACCUCCGAGUGGGGAAUAACUGAGAGAAAUCUUAGCUAAUACCGCAUAACACUUACGAGUCAAAGCAGCAAUGCGCUUGGAGAGGAGUUCGCGGCCGAUUAGUUAGUUGGCGGGGUAAUGGCCCACCAAGACGAUGAUCGGUA
Molecule: ribosomal RNA, 245 nt
Filed under: uncultured bacterium
Lineage: Bacteria
Description: partial small subunit ribosomal RNA
Rfam family: Bacterial small subunit ribosomal RNA
Source: RNAcentral